GAAAGUNUGACGCAGCGACGCCGCGUGGAGGAUGAAGGUUUUCGGAUCGUAAACUCCUGUCNAGAGGGANGAAACNUAUUAAGAAUAAUACUNUUAGUAAUUGACGGUACCUNUAGAGGAAGCACCGGCUAAUUCAGUGCCAGCAGCCGCGGUAAUACNGAAGGNGCAAGCGUUAAUCGGAAUCACUGGGCGUAAAGCGNUCGUAGGUGGCUUUGUAAGUCAGAUGUGAAAGCCCACGGCUCAACCGNGGAAUNNCAUUUGAUANUGCAUCGNUAGAGUNUAGGAGAGGGAAGUGGAAUUUNUGGUGUAGGAGUGAAAUCCGUAGAGAUCAGAAGGAACACCGGUGGNGAAGGNGANUUCCUGGACUAUUACUGACANUGAGGAGCGAAAGCGUGGGGAGCAANCAGGAUUAGAUACCCUGGUAGUCC
This 428-nucleotide ribosomal RNA is filed under the name bacterium S6P3-225. RNAcentral's name for it is "partial 16S ribosomal RNA". It matches the Rfam family "Bacterial small subunit ribosomal RNA", at positions 377 to 796 of the family's 1533-position model. The record is from RNAcentral.